Molecule: ribosomal RNA, 459 nt
Filed under: uncultured bacterium
Lineage: Bacteria
Description: partial 16S ribosomal RNA
Rfam family: Bacterial small subunit ribosomal RNA
Source: RNAcentral
CUACGGGCCGCAGCAGUAGGGAAUAUUGGGCAAUGGACGAAAGUCUGACCCAGCCAUGCCGCGUGCAGGAUGACAGCCCUCUGGGUUGUAAACUGCUUUUAUAUAGGAAGAAACCCUUGGAUGCGUCCGAGGCUGACGGUACUAUAUGAAUAAGGAUCGGCUAACUGCGUGCCAGCAGCCGCGGUAAGACGAAGGAUCCAAGCGUUGUCCGGAUUUACUGGGUUUAAAGGGUGCGUAGGCGGACCUUUAAGUCAGUGGUGAAAUCCCGCAGCUCAACUGCGGAACUGCCAUUGAAACUGAAGGUCUUGAAUAUGGUUGAGGUAGAUGGAAUAUAACAUGUAGCGGUGAAAUGCUUAGAUAUGUUAUAGAACACCGAUUGCGAAGGCAGUCUGCUAAGCCAUCAUUGACGCUGAGGCACGAAAGCGUGGGGAGCAAACAGGAUUAGAUACCCCUGUAGUC